Molecule: ribosomal RNA, 559 nt
Filed under: Cerinomyces canadensis
Lineage: Eukaryota; Fungi; Basidiomycota; Dacrymycetes; Dacrymycetales; Cerinomycetaceae
Description: eukaryotic LSU rRNA
Rfam family: Eukaryotic large subunit ribosomal RNA
Source: RNAcentral
GAGGAAAAGAAACUAACAAGGAUUCCCCUAGUAACUGCGAGUGAAGCGGGAAGAGCUCAAAUUUGUAAUCUGCCUUUUGGCCGAGUUGUAAUCUGGAGAAGCGUUAUCAGGCGCCGACCGCAUUAAAGUCUCUUGGAACAGGGCGUCACAGAGGGUGAGAAUCCCGUGAGUAAUGCGGCUGCGGCGUUGUAGAGGCGCUCUCGAUGAGUCGAGUUGUUUGGGAAUGCAGCUCAAAUUGGGUGGUAAACUCCAUCUAAAGCUAAAUAUUGGCGAGAGACCGAUAGCGAACAAGUACCGUGAGGGAAAGAUGAAAAGGACUUUGGAAAGAGAGUUAAAGAGUACGUGAAAUUGCUGAAAGGGAAGCGCUUGAAGUGAGUCGCGCGGGCAGGAUUCAGCUUUGCGUAUUUCCUGCCUGUGGGCCAGCAUCGACGGUGGGCGGCGGACAAGGGCGGUGGGAAUGUGGCACCUUCGGGUGUGUUAUAGCCCGCCGUCGUACACGCUGCCUUACGUCGAGGACUGCUUAUAGGAUGCUGGCGUAAUGGCUUUAAGCGACCCGUCU